This is a non-coding RNA of Petromyzon marinus (sea lamprey), 1942 nucleotides long. The record is from RefSeq and is a predicted model, not a curated record. Lineage: Eukaryota; Metazoa; Chordata; Hyperoartia; Petromyzontiformes; Petromyzontidae.
AGCUCGUUGCGGCUCUGGUACGGAGCAGUCGUGCGCUACUGAGCAGCACAUUCAACGCCCGCUGGCUUCGCGCGUGUGCUGCACAAGCCAGAGCGCGCGGACGCAGCGGCGAACCGGCGGACGCACGUGCACGAGCACAGCGAUCACGCGCGCCGUCUCAGCACCGCAGCGAGCAGCCAUGAGCGGCCGGCUUAACCUCAUCUGUGCGUUCGUCUUGGUCGCCCUCCUCGAGUCAGCCUACGGAGGAGUCAUGCGGAAAAGGAGAGACACCUUCCAGCACGGUCUCCAGAUGUCGUCGUCGUCGUCUUCGCACUCAUCGCCGUCGCGGUCGUCGUCAUCGUCAGCAGCGACGUCAAUCUUCUCAUCGAUAAUGGAGGGCAGAAGGCCGCAGGCCAAGGCCGCGGCGAGAGACGCAAGCGCGUCGAACCACGCACGGCGCCACCAGCACAGGCCGCGGUGCCGCGAUCACCCGCACCAGGGAUUCUACCCGCAGCACCAGCACCGGCACCAGCAGCAGCACCAGAGGCACAGGUGCAACCACAGGACGCCGCAGCAAACCUUGCACUCGUGGAAUCGCCCGUCUCUCAACGGCAGGGGACCCAUUUAAGCGGCGGCGGCGGCGGCACCGACUGCUCCACACCCACACGGCAGCGGGGAUUUCGUGACGAGCGAACAGGAGGCAGCAGACACGCGGAGCGCAAGGUCCUGGUGAUGCGCGUGCGAUGAAGCGUGACAAAAACAACAACAAAAGAAGAAAAAUUUCAACCACCAAACAACCGUCAACGGGGGCAAUAAAAACCAAACGCUUAUAGAAAAAAUAAAAAAUAAAACGGCAGGCACCAGAGAGCAUUUUUGUGAGGCUGCGCAUCAACUCGCAGACGCCACGAUGCUUUCCGACUGUGGAUCGUUCCUCUCUCUACGGUGUGCCAGCGAGCGAACUAGUGAGUGAGGGACUGCGCAGGCGAGUGAGCUGGCGGGUGGGCUGAAGGAUUCUGCGCGCUGCGGUUUGGAGGAGAGCACCGUCAAGUACCGUGGGGCUCUCUCCCCGCCCGCGAGUGUUCCGGGCAGAACGUCAACGCGUCCCAGAGCGGACGCCAAAUGAAGCGCCCCCCCCCCCCACACCACCACACCGCGUUUGCCGACCCCCUCCUUCGCCACGCUACUCAAGCUCCUCCAAACUCUCCCAGCUUCUUCCGCCAGCGGGACCGCUCGAGUUCAAACCCCGCGCAUUUCUCGAACAUUUUUCAAAACCGUAAACCACCAUCUCCUGUCCCCCCACCCCAGCCCCCUGCCUCACAAAGCCUCCACCCCUGCCACCCCACCCUCCUUCCCCCCCCACCCUCUCUUAAUUGAGAACAAAUUAAACUGGAACACAGCGUCCUGCUGCCGGGCUUCUGUGGGGAGCGUAGGUGAAUAGCUGUCACAAAGGGACCCUGGUGUGAAAUGCUGGGGCGUGAACGCUGUCGAACGAAUGCGGUGUGUGUGGAGAGGCACCGCGGUCGCUGUGGCUUGGGGGGGUUGGAGGGCCACGGAAGCGCUCUAGUUUUGCAAGUGUCCAGUGGGACUGGCACCGUCUCGCCACCGUUGCUUUAGUGUUUAUAGACGAAUGUUGUAACCUCUCCUUCUCACGUGUUUUUUUUUUGCUGCUGGUCAAGUAUGAAGUGCUGCCUGUCUAUCGGCUGCUACGUAAAAAAAAUAUAUAAAAUUAAUAUUAUUUUUAUUAUCUUUUUUUGUUUCACUUUUUUUUAUAGAUUUAAGAUGGCAUUUUUACCAGGUAUGAAGCAACAGUAUUUAACUUUGUAAUUUGUUUCGUUCAGUUUCUCUCAUUUGUUCCUGCAUUAAAAUGUUGUUAUACGGACAUUUUUUACGAAAGAUGUUUGUUAAAAUGUUUAUCAUUUUAAUGCUCACUGUAAAUAAAACUUUGGAUAAUAGACCCAACUGA